This is a long non-coding RNA of Acanthaster planci (crown-of-thorns starfish), 470 nucleotides long. Lineage: Eukaryota; Metazoa; Echinodermata; Asteroidea; Valvatida; Acanthasteridae. The record is from RefSeq and is a predicted model, not a curated record.
GUGCACUUGGCGUUGCAAGUGUAGCACGUCAUUCAGCGGGAACAGGCCAGUCUCGCACGGAACAUACAUAACAACGCGCGGAAUAUGGCGACAUUGAGGUCCGACAUUUGAUAACAUUAUUCCCUGACUGACUCCAAUACAACUCCUGUCGUGGACCUAAAGACGUCAUGGUAUCAUCAACGAUGUUCCACCCUUGUGUGACCAUAAUUUCACUGGUUUUCGUCGUUUUAAACAAAGGCCUGGCCCUCGAUAUCGUUGGUAAGCCAGCAAAUCAGAGCACAACUUACAAUGAAGCUGGGAGAGCAGGCAAUGCAGUAGACGGAGAUGAUUCCACGAUUUCCCACACAAAGUGUGAUGGCUUUGGAGACCAUUGGUGGAAGGUUGAUCUCCAGGCGAUCUACUGCUUGACAAAAAUCACUGUAGUCAACAGGGGAGAUUGCUGUGGUGAGAUUGUCAGAAAUUUUCCUUUU